Pezoporus flaviventris is the source of this 3394-nucleotide RNA transcript. It is a transcript of the gene named kinesin family member 23, with no coding region annotated. The record is from RefSeq and is a predicted model, not a curated record. The transcript has 25 exons. Lineage: Eukaryota; Metazoa; Chordata; Aves; Psittaciformes; Psittacidae.
GGGCGCCGUCUAUCGCGACAUGUGGCCCCGCGACAUGAAGGCAGCUAGAACGAGGACGCCGCGGAGGCCGGUGCCCAAGAAGCCGUCGAACCCCUGCGUGAGGGAUCCCGUGGGGGUGUACUGCAGGGUGAGGCCGCUGAGCCGCCCGGACCAGGAGUGCUGCAUCGAGGUGAUCGAUGAGACCACGGUGCAGAUCCACCCGCCCGAGGGAUACCGGAUAUUUCGCAACGGGGAGUACCGGGAGACACAAUAUUCCUUCAAAGAGGUGUUUGGUGCCCUUGUUGUUCAGAAGCAGCUCUUUGAUGUGGUGGCUAAACCGCUAGUAGAAGAUCUCAUUCGUGGGAGAAAUGGUCUCCUUUUUACGUACGGUGUGACAGGCAGUGGAAAAACACACACCAUGACAGGCUCUCCUGGUGAUGGAGGACUUCUCCCUCGGUGUUUGGAUAUGAUCUUUAACAGCAUAGGACCCUUCCAGGCCAAGCGAUUUGUUUUUAAGCUUGAUGACAAGAACGGUGUGGAGGUUCAGUGUGAAGUAGAUGCCCUAUUAGAGCGCCAGAAAAGAGAUGCCAUGCCUAUUCCAAAAACUCCAUCGGGCAAGCGACAAAUCGAUCCGGAAUUCGCGGAUAUGAUCAAUGUGCAGGAUCACUGCAAAGUGGAAGACGUUGAUGAAGAUAAUGUCUACAGUGUCUUUGUCUCCUAUAUUGAGAUCUACAACAACUACAUAUAUGACCUCCUGGAGGAAGCUCCCUUUGAGCCUAUAAAACCCAAGUGGAACAAUUGCAACACUCCUGUGCGAAAUGGUGACUUUAUACCUCCACAGUCCAAAGUGCUUCGUGAGGACCAGAAUCACAACAUGUAUGUAACAGGAUGCACCGAAGUAGAGGUGAAAUCUACAGAAGAAGCUUUUGAAGUGUUCUGGCGAGGUCAAAAGAAGAGGCGGAUUGCAAACACUCAGCUGAAUCGAGAAUCCAGUCGUUCUCACAGUGUUUUCAUGAUAAAGUUGGCUCAGGCACCGCUGGAUGCAGACGGAGACAACGUGCUGCAGGAGAAAGAGCAGAUCACUUUAAGCCAGCUGUCUUUAGUUGAUCUGGCUGGAAGUGAAAGAACUAAUAGAACAAAAGCUGAAGGGAACAGGUUGCGAGAAGCAGGUAAUAUUAAUCAGUCACUGAUGACAUUGAGAACAUGUCUUGAAGUCCUGCGGGAAAACCAAAUGUGUGGAACAAAUAAGAUGGUUCCAUACAGAGAUUGCAAACUGACUCAUCUCUUCAAGAACUAUUUUGAUGGUGAAGGGAAAGUGCGUAUGAUUGUGUGUGUUAACCCUAAAGCUGAGGACUACGAAGAAAGCCUGCAAGUGAUGCGCUUUGCGGAGAUGGCGCAGGAGGUUGAAGUGGCGAGACCUGCCGACAGACCCAUCUGUGCCCUGACACCGGGCCGGCGCUUCAGGAAUCAGGCCUUCAGAGAGGAGCUCCAAAGGAAGCUGGAGAUGAGGGGGGGGCCAAUAAAUGAAGAGACAGAAGAGCAAGCUGUUUCAGAACUGCUUUUGCAGAACUUUCCUCCCUUGCCUUCAUGUGAGCUAUUGGAUAUUAAUGAUGAUCAAACACUUCCAAAGUUGAUUGAAGUCCUGGAAAAACGCCAUAAAAUACGACAGUUGUUGUCAGAGGAGAUUGCCAAAACUGUGCGUGCAUUUAAAACAGCGCUGCAAGAAUUUGAGUCCAGCGUUGCAUCCAAGGAAAACUAUGUUCAAGGGAAACUGUCUGAAAAAGAGAAAACAAUAGCAGGGCAAAAAAUGGAGCUGGAACGCCUGGAGAAGAAAAUAAAAACUUUGGAAUACAAGAUUCAUAUCUUGGAGAAAACUACAACAAUUUAUGAAGAAGACAAACGUAAUCUUCAGCAAGAGCUAGAAAGCAAGAGCCAGCAACUGCAGCGUCAGGCUUCGGACAAGCGCAGGAUGGAGGCACGAUUGCAAGGCAUGGUGACAGAAACCAGCGUGAAAUGGGAGAAGGAGUGUGAGCGUCGUGUGGCAGCAAAGCAGCUGGAAAUGCAGAACAAACUUUGGGUUAAAGAUGAAAAACUGAAGCAGCUGAAGGCCAUUGUUGCUGAACCAAAAAAUGAGAAGCCAGAGAGGCCUUCACGAGUGAGAGACCGAGAGAAGCCUGUUCAGAGAUCAGUGUCUCCUCCACCGGCACCUCCUCCUAGUAACUCUGUUACUCAGGUCCCUAACAGCCAGCGGCUCGUGAGCAACCCGCAGGUGCACAGACGUUCUAACUCUUGUAGCAACAUUUCUGUGGCAUCCUGUGUUAUGAAAUGGGAGCAGAAAACCCCUUUGCACAAGCCUACCAGUGGCACUUCUAAUGCAAGGAAUAGACAACAAGAACCAGAACAAAAUAGAGACUAUAACAUCUCAAACAGAAGGCGAGGGAUGUGCUGGACUGGAGUCACUGAGCUUCCCAGGCAUAGAGAUGAGCUAGAAAUAGAAGAGGAUCAAUGCCACAGGAGCGCACCUCCAGUUCGGCUCAGACACAGACGGUCCCGCUCAGCUGGGGAGAGAUGGGUGGAUCAUAAACCACCUUCUAAUGUGCCCACUGAGACAGUCAUGCAGCCUCAAGUGCCUCAUGCCAUCACGGUGGCAGCUGCAAGCGAAAAGGCUCUAGCUAAGUGUGACAAGUACAUGCUGACGCACCAGGAGCUAGCCUCUGAUGGGGAGAUUGAAACUAAGCUCAUUAAGGGUGAUGUUUUCAAAACCAGAGGUGGUGGACAGGCUGUGCAGUUCACUGAGAUAGAGACUCUGAAGCAGGAAUCUCCAACUGGUCGAAAACGAAGAUCAUCACCUUCCAAUCCUGACCAGCCUGAGGAUGCUGCAGACUCGGAAUGGACUGAUGUGGAAACCAGAUGUUCUGUGGCAGUGGAGAUGAGGGCAGGAUCAGCUCUCGGACCUGGGUAUCAGCAUCAUGCUCAGCCCAACUAGGUGCUGGCACUGCUCCGGAGGUGUCCUGUUCAGCUCAGAGGAAGAAAAUGCAGUUUUGCAAGACCUUUGCAGCAGGAGAAAGGGCUGGAGAGAGACAAAAUGUUUGUGAAGGCAAAAUCAACUAAACUCACUGCAUUUGGAACCCAGAAAGUUUAGAACUGUGGUGGAAGGGUAUUUUGGAGAGUGUCUGAAAGUGUCCCCCUUUCAGAUAAGGCGAAGAAAACCAUGAACUUCAUGUGCUGCUGCAUUGGAUUCCUCUUGAUUUUAUCAGACUGAUGUAAUCUCUGCUGCCAAUGAUAAACCUGAUGAAAACUGCUGUGCUAUCCCCACAGGCUGGUGUUUUCAUAACCUCCUGUGGUAGGCAAUGGUUAAAUGGGAGAUACCUCUUGCAGUCCCAAAGAAGCAUGUGCGUGGCUGUGUGUGUUUUCA